RNAcentral lists this long non-coding RNA (5310 nucleotides) under Canis lupus familiaris (dog). Its description in RNAcentral is "lncRNA (ENSCAFG00845024909.1)". Lineage: Eukaryota; Metazoa; Chordata; Mammalia; Carnivora; Canidae. The record is from RNAcentral.
UAGCAUGUUUAGAAAUGUCCUUUUCCCUGCCCACAGCUUACAAAGACACAAUUGCAUAGUGGGAGCCUUUGGGAAGUUUUAAAUAUCUUCUGUGAAGGAGGAGAAAUGUGGACAUGUUGGCCAAGCUGGUCAUUUUCAUGGCGGAUCUUACACUUGCUUUGGCCAUUUUUGGUAUCCUCUAUGCUCUUUCCCUAAUAGCAACCACAGGUAUAUUCAUCUCUGUCCUCUUCUAUAUUUUCAAAGGGAUGGAUAAAAACUGUGACUUCAGCAAGGGAAGAAUCCAGGUGCCAGAUUCCAGCAGUGCUCCUGGGAAGGCAUUUGCAGGCAACAUGGAGAGUCAGGUCUGGAAUGCUCCCCACCUAUUUUCUGGCUGCAAGAGAAGAGGCCCAAGGAGUGUGUUUUUGUCUGCUAGAGAGCGAGGAGCCCUCUAUGGUGGAGGAGGUGUGCAACCGGACCUACCAGAACACCGCACCCACCCAACUGAGAGUCUUCCUUUUCAUGAAGAAUGCUCAAGCUCCUAAGAAAGCCUGAGGUGCAUGAAGUAGAGGAGAUGAAUGCAAAAGGAUUUUAAUUCCCAGGAGUAACAUCUCACUGGCUACUGUGUUUCAAUUCUUCAAGCCUUCAUGCUCUUUGCCCUGCGACUUUACACCCACCAUCAGAAGGUGGCUAGGUCUGUUUUCCCACUUCUUGAAUAGGGGCUGGCCUUUGGACUUGGUUAGGCUAAUAGAAGGCGUCAGAAGUGAGAGGGAGCCAGUUCCUAGUCUGGUUGUCAAGGGACCUCCCACUCCACACUCUGUCGGGAGUACUGCCAGCACCUUGUGAAAAAGCCCCUGCCAGGCUGCCAGAGGAAGAGCCCAUCUGUCCUAGCUGAAGCCAUACUAGUCCAGCCUAUAGCCGGCACCCCCCAAACAUGUGAGAGAGCCGAUCUAUCUCAUCCACACAUGACCACAGAUGUGUAAAGGAGUCCGAUGAGACCAGAAGACCUGCCCCACUUGCUCCUAAACCUUUGAGCAGUAAAUAAUUACUAUUCUUUAGGAACUAGUUUUGGGCUGCUCUAACUCAUGUGGAGAAUGCAGUUUCUUAGAAGAUCUAAAUGUUUUAUGAUUUUGUUUUUAUUUUUGUUUAUUUUUGGUGGUGUUUUUUCCGCAGAAACUAUUUUCUUGCUAGAUUUGCUCAAAUGCACAUUGAUUUUGUAGUUUUGAAGAGAAUUCCUUGGUUUAAUCCUACUUUCACAGAAACUCCUGUGUGAUUCGUUUUGUCCUAUAACCGAGGCUACAAGAAACCUGAUGAUGCUACUGGGAAAGAAGUAGCUAAGUAAUUUCAAAAAGUGAAGAGUCUGGAUCCCCCCUCCAAAAAAAAGAAAGGAAAAGUUUAGUAAAAUGAAUAUCAGUUUGCAGAUUUAAAGGCUGGCUCAGUUGAUCUCAUAGUAAUGAAAGCAGAAAAGAUGUCAAGGAGACAGAAUUAAGUCUGAAUAUAACUUUUCUCUCAAAAUGUCAACAUAUACAUUAAAAUGAAUAAAAAAUUAUGACAGGUCAGGCAACAGAUACAUGUUGUACAAUAUGCAGAUAAUAGAAGGGAUGAACAAAUCCAGACCAACAAAACAUUAAAAAAAAAUUGAGGGUGUGAUAGUAAUAUUAAAGAAAUUCAAAUUUAAGGAAGAGAAGCUUGAAAGAGACAAAACACAGAUAUCUGAAUGAGAUCUGUUUAACAUAAUUGAUAGUUAAUAUGAUUUGAUUUGGUGCUCCUGUUUUGGGACACGCAUAUUAUACCAGUAGGAUAGUCUCUGAUGCAAAACCUCUUUGAUACCUCCAGGACAAUGAGAAAAUAGUAAGAGUAGGUUCCUCACUUAUAAAAAAAAAAGCAAGCAGUUGAAAUACAAUAUUUUGUUUCUUCCAUUUGGAAGUACAUUUUAAACAAGCGAAAUAGAUACCAUAUGGCCUGUCAGUCACUUGACACUGAAGAACAAUAUAGGAUUUGUAUCUUAGUUCCCAUUUCCCACAAUGAGUGUUAAUUCUUCCCUGCCUUUGCUCUUGCUAUUUUUCAUGAGCAGAACAUUUACUUGUUCAUUUCCUCUCUUCUUUAGUUGGUAAACUCCAAACCAGGUUCAAACUUAGAAAAAAAAAAGCUUUAAGUUUAAACUAAGAGACCGCCAUUAUUAGUGAAGGUUUUCCUAGUAACUCCAGGCAAAAUAAACCACCAUUGCCAAGAGUUCCUAUUAUUUCCUCACAUCUGUAAGCAUAGCACUAAUUUUAUAUUAUGACUAUUUGUAGUCCUGUCUCCUCCUAUUAAAUCACAAGCUCUUCAAAGGUCCAGGGCAGGAAUCUGCAGUCUCUGAAAUAUUAGAGACUUUUUUUUUAAUGUUAAGAUAAAUGCUUACAAAUUAAGUACUUAAAUAUUUUUAGAACAAACUGAAAUGUAUUCACACAUUAAAUUUUGAUCCACAUGCUCAAUUUUGCACUGCAGUAAUGGUAAUGGUACUUGGCUCUCCUAGGUCUACUCCAAAUUUUAGUCAAUUAAAAUAGUUUUAAUACAUCAAGGUGAUUAUCUUUCCAGAGGCAAUAAUUGUUCUCUAUUAUGAUUAUUAGUUAGAUUUUCCAAUUAGGUUUGAUUGAAGAGAGCCAUGGUUUUAAAUAUGCCAGUUCACUCCUUGUUUUAUCUAGCACAUGAAUACGUAUGACUAUAUUUGGAUUCCUAAUACGUAAUGAAAGAGCAGCUUUCGGUGUUUGAAAAGAAUGAAUCCUACUACCCCAAGGUGAUCUGUUUGUCUGCCAUGAUAACUAAUAAAGCUUUCCUUGAUACCCAAGAAGAAUAAGAAAUACCUUACAAGGGGCACCUGGGUGGCUCAAUUAGUUAAACGUCUGCCUUCGCUCAGGUCAUGAUCCCAGGAUCCUGAGAUGGAGCACCAUGUCAGGCUCCCAGCAGGGAGCUUGCUUCUCCCUCUCCUUCUGGCUGCUGCUUUCCCCUGCUUGUUCGCACUCUCUGUCUGUCAAAUAAAUAAAUCAGGAAGGAAGGAAGGAAGGAAGGAAGGAAGGAAGGAAGGAAGGAAGGAAGGAAGGAAGGAAGGAAGGAAGGAAGGAAGGAAGGAAGGAAGGAAGGAAGGAAGGAAGGAAGGAAGGAAGGAAGGAAGGAAGGGAGAGAAAGAAUGAUCAUAACCUCAACCGAAGGCAGGAGCUUAACCCACUGAAGCACCCAGGCACCCCUAUUAGAUGCUUUAAAGGGUAAAAAUGUCAUGAGGAUAAAAAUGCACAGGGAAUACAGUCAGUGGUGCUGUAAUAGGAUAAAGUAGCUACAGGGGGUAGCUACUUGUGGUGAACAUAAUAUAGAUUUGUUGAAUCACUAUGUUGUACACCUGAUACUAAUGUAACAUUGUGUGUCAACUACAAUGAAAAAAAAAGUUUUCAUCAAAAAGAAAAAAAAAAAGGUGAAACUGUCCUAGAAUUAUUUCAAUCUUAAGAGACUCUACUUUUCAAUAAAAAUUACUAGAAUCAUGAUACUGGCUCAGUGUUCUCAUUGCCUCUUUUCCCUUCUUAAAAUCAGAGCUCUUAGAAAAACAAGCCAAUACAUAGAACCCUCAAAAAAGCACCACAGAACACUUUAAGAUAGUAUUUUUUUUUUUUACUUAAAAUUUAUGCCCUUUGUGUCAUGGAAAACGCGCUAUCAUAUCCCUUCUUUCAAUGUUUUUUCCCUUCAAAAUACCAUUAGGAUGAAAUGAACUGAGAAUAUGGGAUAAAAUUCCCUGCACUUCUUUGUCCCCAGUUUGGAAGGCACCUUAUAUAAACACCCCCUUCCACUUCACCCCUUAGGUCUUUCCCAAGCCUCAUUAUAAGGAGAAAACUUUUUUGUGUUAUUCUUAAAUGGAGAUUGAAACUCUGGAAGAGUUAUAACUACAAAGAUGUAGACGAAGUAAAUCAAUUUCAUUAGUUCUCUUUACAUUUUUUUAAAUUUGAAAAUAUUUGUGGGAGCCUGAGUGGCUCAGUUGGUUAAGCAUCUGACUUCAGUAAGGUUAUGAUCUCAGGGUCCUGGGAUCCACCCCUGAGUCAGGAUCCCCACUCAGUGAGGACUCUAUUUGUCCCUCUGCCCUUCCCCCACUCACUCACACACACUUUCUCUCUCUCUUAAAUAAAUAAAAUAAAAUCUUUAAAAUUUGAAAAUAUUUGGGAGGAAAAAGGCCUACCAUAUUCUCACAUUAAAAACAAAGUUUUAUGAAAGGAAAAAGUCAAAAGGCUCUUCAAAUCAAAGGCUUCCCUUGAGAUAGCCAUUGUCAAGAGCUUAAUAUUUGCUCUUCCCAACUUUCUCUUAUGCUUAUUCUGAAAUACGUUAUGUACUUACAAAAUGGCAUUAGGCUACAUAUAUCAAAUUAAACUUGGUUGUUCUACUUAAAAAUGUGUUUCUUCCCAAGUCAUUAUGUGUAUACCUACUUAUGAUUGCUGAACAUUAGCAAUCUUUUUAAUAUUGGCAAAUGUUUUGCCAACUUGGUAAGUGGAGAAUGAUGUCAUUUUACUUCACAUUUUGAAAAGUCAACAUCACUCAUCAUCAGAGAGAUACAAAUCAAAACCACAGUGAGAUAUCUCCUCGCAUCUAUCUGAAUGGCUGAAAUUAACAACACAAGAAACAACAGGUGUUGGAGAGGAUGUGGAAAAAGGGGAACCCUCUUGCACUGUUGGUGGCAAUGCAAACUGGGGCAGCCACUCUGGAAAACAAUGUGGAGUUUCCUCAAAAAGCUAAAAAUAGAAUUACCCCACAACCCAGCAAUUGUACUACUACUACCCAAAGGAUUAGAAAAAAAUACAGAUUAGAAAGAAUACAUGCACCUCAAUGUUUAUAGCAGCAUUAUCAACAAUAGCCAAACUAUGGAAAGAGCCCAGAUGUCCAUGAAUGGUUAAGAAGAUGUGGUACAUAUACAUACAAUGGAAUAUUACUCAGCCAUCAAAAAGAAUGAAAUCUUGCUGUCUGCAACAACAUGGAUAGAGCUAGAGUGUAUUAUGCUAAGCAAAAUUAGUCAGUCAGAGAAAGACAAAUACCAUAUCAUUUUACUCAUAUUUGGAAAUUAAGAAACAAAACAGAUGAGCAUAGGGGAAGGGAAAUAAAAAUUAAAAAGAGAGAGAGAGAAAGAGAUAAGCCAUAAGAGACUCUUAAUUAUAGAGAACAAACUGAGGGUUGAUAGAGGGAGGUGGGAGGGGGAUGGGCUAGAUGGGUGAUGGCCAUUAAGGAAGGCACUUGUGAUGAGCGGUGGGUGUUGUAUGAAAGUGAUGAAACACUGAAUUCUACUCCUGAAACCAGUAUUGCACAGUAUUUUAACGAGAAUUUAAA